UGUGUUAGUGGAAGCGUCUGGAAAGUCGCGCAGCAAAGGGUGAUAGCCCCGUACACUAAAAUGCACAGGUCGUGAGUUCGAUGAGUAGGGCGGGACACGUGACAUCCUGUCUGAAUAUGGGGGGACCAUCCUCCAAGGCUAAAUACUCCUGACUGACCGAUAGUGAACCAGUACCGUGAGGGAAAGGCGAAAAGAACCCCGGCGAGGGGAGUGAAAUAGAACCUGAAACCGUGUACGUACAAGCAGUGGGAGCACCUUCGUGGUGUGACUGCGUACCUUUUGUAUAAUGGGUCAGCGACUUAUAUUUUGUAGCAAGGUUAACCGUAUAGGGGAGCCGUAGGGAAACCGAGUCUUAACUGGGCGACUAGUUGCAAGGUAUAGACCCGAAACCCGGUGAUCUAGCCAUGGGCAGGUUGAAGGUUGGGUAACACUAACUGGAGGACCGAACCGACUAAUGUUGAAAAAUUAGCGGAUGACUUGUGGCUGGGGGUGAAAGGCCAAUCAAACCGGGAGAUAGCUGGUUCUCCCCGAAAGCUAUUUAGGUAGCGCCUCGUGAACUCAUCUUCGGGGGUAGAGCACUGUUUCGGCUAGGGGGCCAUCCCGGCUUACCAAACCGAUGCAAACUCCGAAUACCGAAGAAUGUUAUCACGGGAGACACACGGCGGGUGCUAACGUCCGUCGUGAAGAGGGAAACAACCCAGACCGCCAGCUAAGGUCCCAAAGUCAUGGUUAAGUGGGAAACGAUGUGGGAAGGCAUAGACAGCCAGGAUGUUGGCUUAGAAGCAGCCAUCAUUUAAAGAAAGCGUAAUAGCUCACUGGUCGAGUCGGCCUGCGCGGAAGAUGUAACGGGGCUAAACCAUGCACCGAAGCUGCGGCAGCGACGCUUAGGCGUUGUUGGGUAGGGGAGCGUUCUGUAAGCCGUUGAAGGUGGCCUGUGAGGGUUGCUGGAGGUAUCAGAAGUGCGAAUGCUGACAUAAGUAACGAUAAAGCGGGUGAAAAGCCCGCUCGCCGGAAGACCAAGGGUUCCUGUCCAACGUUA
RNAcentral lists this ribosomal RNA (1039 nucleotides) under Asticcacaulis sp. AC460. RNAcentral's name for it is "bacterial LSU rRNA". It matches the Rfam family "Bacterial large subunit ribosomal RNA", at positions 325 to 1367 of the family's 2925-position model. Lineage: Bacteria; Pseudomonadati; Pseudomonadota; Alphaproteobacteria; Caulobacterales; Caulobacteraceae. The record is from RNAcentral.